RNAcentral lists this transfer RNA (76 nucleotides) under Bacillota bacterium. RNAcentral's name for it is "Firmicutes bacterium (anaerobic digester metagenome) tRNA-Glu". It matches the Rfam family "tRNA". Rfam says of the family: Transfer RNA (tRNA) molecules are approximately 80 nucleotides in length. Their secondary structure includes four short double-helical elements and three loops (D, anti-codon, and T loops). Lineage: Bacteria; Bacillati; Bacillota. The record is from RNAcentral. RNAcentral also lists the same sequence under 1 other name.
GCCCCCAUCGUCUAGCGGCCCAGGACAUCGCCCUCUCACGGCGAAGACAGGGGUUCAAAUCCCCUUGGGGGUACCA